CAGGCAAUGCCGUCACACGACUCGGAUCCUUGUCUUGCAGCAGAACUCUCGACUCGGCAAGCAAGCAAUCAUGCCCUUCACCUACUCUUUGGUUCGGCACAUCAAUGAGUAUAGAGCGGCCCUCAAACUAAACUUUGCCGCGCCGACUAAGAUGGCCGCUGCUCGGGUACCUCCGGUUGCCUAACCUCAAGGACGAUCUAAACUAGUUGAACACGCAAGGUCCAAGAGGGAAGUACUCCUCAAAUGGCUAUUGGACCUCGUAGGUCUAGGCCACGGGGGAGGACACGACGGCGCUAAAGCCUCUCUUAGUCCAGCAUCACCUCCUUACGUUGACACGCACUCCGACGCGGGUUCACCAGCCGUCGGAUCGGACGUCUCUUCACCUUGUGAAGCGGACACGUCAGUCUCGUCAGGGGGCCCUUCCACUUAGGCCGGGCUCGUGGUCCUAUCUUCUCCUCUACUUGACAACUAUUAAAAGUGAUGACUAAACGUAAUCAUCAACUCUUUUUAAACGACCCCGAUGCACGCAUAUUUAAAUUAACAAAUCUACAAAGUUAAUGUUGUAGACAGCGAGUAGAUACCAACACUUUAAAACGAAAACCAAAAAGUAAGGAAAAACACACCCACUCAGAGGUCGUUACCUAAAAACCACAUCAGAAUUCGUUUGACUCAAUCGACAAGUAAGCAAUGUCCGACGUC
Molecule: ribosomal RNA, 699 nt
Filed under: Triticum aestivum (bread wheat)
Lineage: Eukaryota; Viridiplantae; Streptophyta; Magnoliopsida; Poales; Poaceae
Description: partial small subunit ribosomal RNA
Source: RNAcentral